GCAGGAUGGACGCGUUGGCUGUCAUGAUGUAGGACCUCCUGACCUAGAACCAUGCCCGGCGCAGGGAGAACAACGAGCUUACGGACCGGGUGCGGGGGCUGCUGUGCGAGAAAGCCUACCUGCUGGCCCGGGAGCGUUCGCCGGCCCACCUGGUGGCUUUCCCUGGACGUUUAACGGCGACUCCGCCCGGCCUCCCGACUUUUUGAUGCAGGCGUUCUCUUACAUGACUUUCUUCGAGGCUAGAUUCUCGAAAGACAUCCUGAAGGUGGCUUUCUUAAUUAGCUGCCUCACCGGCUGGCGGAGCAGUUCGUAGUCGCCUACAUCGAGAGGGAGAGCCCCGUCCUGGCUCAGUACUGGGGCUUCGUGGACGCGCUGUAGCGGGUCUUCGCCGUCGUGGGUAGGAAACAGUCGGGCCGGAUCCCCGGUGUCUGGGGAGCGGCUGCCGGCCGGGCCCGCGCGAGCCGCUUCACUCCUACAAGCCCGGCUCACUAGUUCCAAGCUGCUGGACUUUGACCCUCGCUGGGAAGCUUGAUCGCCGCCUGUUCUCGCCAAUCUCUAUGCCUUUGCACUGCCCAGCAACCCGGUCACUGCCCAGGACCUGUUAAAAGUUGAAUGGACCUCCCAGAAUCACGCCGCUGCCACCGCCGUUUCUAGAGACGGCUUUUGGCCACCUUUGAGAAUCAGGGUCAAACUUGGAAGGGCCUGCAUUUGUCACACUUCCUCGGACACUAAUUUGGAUAGUUCAGGCCCAGAGACGGCUUCCCGGCAAUGCCAGUUUGCGCCUUUUGGUCUGAGGAACGCAGGCCCUGGCCACUACCAGGAAAAAGUAUUUACUUUUAAAACUUGAAUGUAUAUCUUUACCGUAUGCCUAGUACAGUAGUGCUUGGAAGAAACAGAUUAGUAAGACAAAAUAUAUGUCUUCAAGAACACUUACGUUCUGAGAAAGAAUUCUGAAUGCAGAUUCUAAUGUCUGAUCCUUUGCACAUGGCCUGCUAUCAACAAUCCUCUACAAUGAUUCUCAGCAUCACCUAGGGAGCUUAUGUAAAAUCUCAAAUUCCUGGGCCCUAUCCCCAGAGUUUCUUAUCAAUUUCCUUGAUGGAGAACUAUCAAAGCAGUCAAAGCUAUCAAAAUAAAAAAGAAUUCUGAUUGGGUGCAGUGGCUCACACCUGUCAUUCCAGCACUUUGAGAGGCCAAGGUGGGCAGAUCACAUGAGGCCAGGAGUUCAAGACCAGCCUGGCCAACAUGGCAGAAACCCCAUCUCUACUAAAAAUACCAAAAUUAGCCGGGCAUGGUGGAACACACCUGCAAUCCCAGCUACUCGGGAGGCUGAGGCAAGAGAAUCGCUUGAACCUGGGAGGCAGAAGUUGCAGUGAAACAAGUUGGUGCCAAUGCAUUCCAGCCUGGA
This 1405-nucleotide long non-coding RNA is filed under the name Homo sapiens (human). RNAcentral's name for it is "LHRI_LNC283.8". The record is from RNAcentral. Lineage: Eukaryota; Metazoa; Chordata; Mammalia; Primates; Hominidae.